This 212-nucleotide small RNA is filed under the name Arabidopsis thaliana (thale cress). RNAcentral's name for it is "ATSL223820". Lineage: Eukaryota; Viridiplantae; Streptophyta; Magnoliopsida; Brassicales; Brassicaceae. The record is from RNAcentral.
ACAUAAAGUUUAUUUAUAAGUUCUAGCUUCAUUGUUUAAUAUGAAUUGAAGAAAGUGAGAUUUGUAAAAUUAACCUUUUUUUACUACUUUUUUGCAAUAAUACCUUUUUAUGUUGUCCAUUUUUAAAAAUACUCAUUUCCUUGAAUAGAAUGACCAAAUUACCCUCAUCUAAUAGGAACAUGUAAUUGGAAACUGAAAUUUUUCCGCAAAAA